Molecule: ribosomal RNA, 748 nt
Filed under: Microbacterium sp. 408(2010)
Lineage: Bacteria; Bacillati; Actinomycetota; Actinomycetes; Micrococcales; Microbacteriaceae
Description: bacterial SSU rRNA
Rfam family: Bacterial small subunit ribosomal RNA
Source: RNAcentral
UGAACGCUGGCGGCGUGCUUAACACAUGCAAGUCGAACGGUGAACACGGAGCUUGCUCUGUGGGAUCAGUGGCGAACGGGUGAGUAACACGUGAGCAACCUGCCCCUGACUCUGGGAUAAGCGCUGGAAACGGCGUCUAAUACUGGAUACGAGUAGCGAUCGCAUGGUCAGCUACUGGAAAGAUUUUUUGGUUGGGGAUGGGCUCGCGGCCUAUCAGCUUGUUGGUGAGGUAAUGGCUCACCAAGGCGUCGACGGGUAGCCGGCCUGAGAGGGUGACCGGCCACACUGGGACUGAGACACGGCCCAGACUCCUACGGGAGGCAGCAGUGGGGAAUAUUGCACAAUGGGCGGAAGCCUGAUGCAGCAACGCCGCGUGAGGGAUGACGGCCUUCGGGUUGUAAACCUCUUUUAGCAGGGAAGAAGCGAAAGUGACGGUACCUGCAGAAAAAGCGCCGGCUAACUACGUGCCAGCAGCCGCGGUAAUACGUAGGGCGCAAGCGUUAUCCGGAAUUAUUGGGCGUAAAGAGCUCGUAGGCGGUUUGUCGCGUCUGCUGUGAAAUCCCGAGGCUCAACCUCGGGCCUGCAGUGGGUACGGGCAGACUAGAGUGCGGUAGGGGAGAUUGGAAUUCCUGGUGUAGCGGUGGAAUGCGCAGAUAUCAGGAGGAACACCGAUGGCGAAGGCAGAUCUCUGGGCCGUAACUGACGCUGAGGAGCGAAAGGGUGGGGAGCAAACAGGCUUAGAUACCCU